GGCCCCGUAGCUCAGCGGUUAGAGCAGGCGACUCAUAAUCGCUUGGUCGCGGGUUCGAAUCCUGCCGGGGCUA
This 73-nucleotide transfer RNA is filed under the name Phycisphaera sp. It matches the Rfam family "tRNA". Rfam says of the family: Transfer RNA (tRNA) molecules are approximately 80 nucleotides in length. Their secondary structure includes four short double-helical elements and three loops (D, anti-codon, and T loops). Further hydrogen bonds mediate the characteristic L-shaped molecular structure. tRNAs have two regions of fundamental functional importance: the anti-codon, which is responsible for specific mRNA codon recognition, and the 3' end, to which the tRNAs corresponding amino acid is attached (by aminoacyl-tRNA synthetases). tRNAs cope with the degeneracy of the genetic code in two manners: having more than one tRNA (with a specific anti-codon) for a particular amino acid; and 'wobble' base-pairing, i.e. permitting non-standard base-pairing at the 3rd anti-codon position. The record is from Rfam by way of RNAcentral. Lineage: Bacteria; Pseudomonadati; Planctomycetota; Phycisphaerae; Phycisphaerales; Phycisphaeraceae.